This 465-nucleotide ribosomal RNA is filed under the name uncultured bacterium. Its description in RNAcentral is "bacterial SSU rRNA". It matches the Rfam family "Bacterial small subunit ribosomal RNA", at positions 99 to 558 of the family's 1533-position model. The record is from RNAcentral.
CGAACGGGUGAGUAAAGCAUCGGAACGUAUCUCGUAGUUGGGGGAUAACCUAGCGAAAGCUAGGCUAAUACCGCAUACGCCCUGUGGGGGAAAGUGGGGGACUCGCAAGGAGCCUCACGCUAUUGGAGCGGCCGAUGUCGGAUUAGCUAGUUGGUGAGGUAAAGGCUUACCAAAGCGACGAUCCGUAGCUGGUUUGAGAGAACGACCAGCCACACUGGGACUGAGACACGGCCCAGACUCCUACGGGAGGCAGCAGUAAGGAAUAUUGGUCAAUGGGCGGAAGCCUGAACCAGCCCAUGCCGCGUGCAGGAAGACGGCCCUACGGGUUGUAAACUGCUUUUGUACCGGAAUAAACCCCCGAACGUGUUCGGGCCUGAAUGUACGGUAAGAAUAAGGAUCGGCUAACUCCGUGCCAGAAGCCGCGGUAAUUACGGAGGAUCCAAAGCGUUAUCCGGAUUUAUUGGG